This 205-nucleotide long non-coding RNA is filed under the name Elaeis guineensis (African oil palm). Its description in RNAcentral is "long non-coding RNA (EGUI_LNC004722)". Lineage: Eukaryota; Viridiplantae; Streptophyta; Magnoliopsida; Arecales; Arecaceae. The record is from RNAcentral.
GUGGGAGGACAAAUCUAUUUAUAGAUUAAAGCAAGCAUCGAAGAGUUGGUACGUCCAUUUUUAAUGAGAUAGUCAAAUUAUUUGACUUUAUCAAAGUAUAAAUAAAUUGUGCAUGUGCAAGAAGACAAGUGGAAGUUUCACUGACUUUUUGGUUUUAUAUAUGGAUGACAUACUGCAUAUUGGGAUUGAUAUCCCAAUAUUGCAA